This 516-nucleotide ribosomal RNA is filed under the name uncultured Methylophilus sp. RNAcentral's name for it is "bacterial SSU rRNA". It matches the Rfam family "Bacterial small subunit ribosomal RNA", at positions 343 to 855 of the family's 1533-position model. The record is from RNAcentral. Lineage: Bacteria; Pseudomonadati; Pseudomonadota; Betaproteobacteria; Nitrosomonadales; Methylophilaceae.
GGGAGGCAGCAGUGGGGAAUUUUGGACAAUGGGCGCAAGCCUGAUCCAGCCAUCCAGCGUGAGUAAAGAAGGCCUUCGGGUUGUAAAGCUCUUUCGCAACGGAAGAAAACUUACAUUCUAAUAAAGUGUGAGGCUAACGGGGCCCCGAUAAAAAGCACCGGCUAAAUAUGUGCCAGCACCCCCGGUAAAAUGUAGGGGGCGAGAGUUAAUCGGAAUUACUGGGGGUAAAGAGUGCGCAGAGGGUUUUGUAAGACACAUGUGAAAUCCCCGAGCUCAACUUGGGAAAUGCGUUUUUGACUACAAGACUAGAAUAUGUCAGAGGGGGGUAGAAUUCCACGUGUAGCAGUGAAAUGCGUAUAGAUGUGGAGGAAUACCCAUGUGGAAGACAGCCCCCUGGGAUAAUAUUCACGCUCAUGCGCGAAAGAGUGGGGAGCACACACGAUUAUAUACCCCGGAGAGACGCGGGAACAUUGCUUUCUGGAGGGAAAAACCAUUUGACCAUUCCUUCUGCCUUAA